RNAcentral lists this ribosomal RNA (433 nucleotides) under uncultured bacterium. Its description in RNAcentral is "bacterial SSU rRNA". It matches the Rfam family "Bacterial small subunit ribosomal RNA", at positions 957 to 1391 of the family's 1533-position model. The record is from RNAcentral.
GAACGCGAAGAACCUUACCUGGUCUUGACAUGUACGGAAUCCUUCAGAGACGGAGGAGUGCCUUCGGGAGCCGUAACACAGGUGCUGCAUGGCUGUCGUCAGCUCGUGUCGUGAGAUGUUGGGUUAAGUCCCGCAACGAGCGCAACCCUUGUCAUUAGUUGCCAUCAUUAAGUUGGGCACUCUAAUGAGACUGCCGGUGACAAGCCGGAGGAAGGUGGGGAUGACGUCAAGUCCUCAUGGCCCUUAUGACCAGGGCUUCACACGUCAUACAAUGGUCGGUACAGAGGGUAGCCAAGCCGCGAGGUGGAGCCAAUCUCACAAAACCGAUCGUAGUCCGGAUUGCACUCUGCAACUCGAGUGCAUGAAGUCGGAAUCGCUAGUAAUCGCAGGUCAGCAUACUGCGGUGAAUACGUUCCCGGGUCUUGUACACACC